Molecule: small RNA, 19 nt
Filed under: Arabidopsis thaliana (thale cress)
Lineage: Eukaryota; Viridiplantae; Streptophyta; Magnoliopsida; Brassicales; Brassicaceae
Description: ATSL156870
Source: RNAcentral
UUUUUUGUUUCUCUCUUUU